Molecule: long non-coding RNA, 302 nt
Filed under: Vigna radiata
Lineage: Eukaryota; Viridiplantae; Streptophyta; Magnoliopsida; Fabales; Fabaceae
Description: long non-coding RNA (VRAD_LNC003004)
Source: RNAcentral
GAUGGUGCAAGUAAAGCAAAUCAAAUGACCAUAGUCAGUCUCUAUGUUUUAAGCUUUCCGCUGAUCCCACGUUUAUUGGGCCAGAUACAAGUGACAGAAUUCUUCUUGGCAGCAACUGAAGACUGAUCACUCCGACCACUUUUACUGUUAAAUCGUCUUCAACAUCGUCGCACAAAAACAACCUCAACAAACUCCACCACCACCAACCUCGCUCUCCUCAGGCACGCCUAUUCUCCUCUUCGAACUUAGGGUUUGAAAUCCCUUCUAAGUUUCUAAUUUCCUCCAAAAUCCCCAAUUUCGCA